Molecule: ribosomal RNA, 456 nt
Filed under: uncultured bacterium
Lineage: Bacteria
Description: bacterial SSU rRNA
Rfam family: Bacterial small subunit ribosomal RNA
Source: RNAcentral
AACGAACGCUGGCGGCAGGCUUAACACAUGCAAGUCGAGCGCCCCGCAAGGGGAGCGGCAGACGGGUGAGUAACGCGUGGGAACAUACCCUUUAGUACGGAAUAGCCUCGGGAAACUGGGAUUAAUACCCGUAUACGCCCUACGGGGAAAGAUUAUCGCUAAAGGAUUGGCCCGCGUUGGAUUAGCUAGUUGGUGAGGUAAUGGCUCACCAAGGCGACGAUCUAUAGCUGGUCUGAGAGGAUGAUCAGCCACACUGGGACUGAGACACGGCCCAGACUCCUACGGGAGGCAGCAGUGGGGAAUAUUGGACAAUGGGCGAAAGCCUGAUCCAGCCAUGCCGCGUGAGUGAUGAAGGCCCUAGGGUUGUAAAGCUCUUUCGUCUAGAGAAGAUAAUGACGGUAUCUAGUAAAGAAGCCCGGCUAACUUCGUGCCAGCAGCCGCGGUAAAGUCUGUACU